UCGAGCGGCAGCGCGGGGGCAACCCUGGCGGCGAGCGGCGAACGGGUGAGUAAUGCAUCGGAACGUGUCCUCUUGUGGGGGAUAACCAGUCGAAAGAUUGGCUAAUACCGCAUGAGAUCGAGAGAUGAAAGCAGGGGACCGCAAGGCCUUGCGCGAGAGGAGCGGCCGAUGCCGGAUUAGCUAGUUGGUGGGGUAAAAGCCUACCAAGGCGACGAUCCGUAGCUGGUCUGAGAGGACGACCAGCCACACUGGGACUGAGACACGGCCCAGACUCCUACGGGAGGCAGCAGUGGGGAAUUUUGGACAAUGGGGGCAACCCUGAUCCAGCCAUGCCGCGUGUGUGAAGAAGGCCUUCGGGUUGUAAAGCACUUUCGGACGGAACGAAAUCGCGCGAUCUAAUAAGUCGCGUGGAUGACGGUACCGUAGGAAGAAGCACCGGCUAACUACGUGCCAGCAGCCGCGGUAAUACGUAGGGUGCGAGCGUUA
RNAcentral lists this ribosomal RNA (486 nucleotides) under uncultured bacterium. RNAcentral describes it as "bacterial SSU rRNA". It matches the Rfam family "Bacterial small subunit ribosomal RNA", at positions 62 to 543 of the family's 1533-position model. The record is from RNAcentral.